This 467-nucleotide ribosomal RNA is filed under the name uncultured bacterium. RNAcentral describes it as "partial 16S ribosomal RNA". It matches the Rfam family "Bacterial small subunit ribosomal RNA", at positions 28 to 507 of the family's 1533-position model. The record is from RNAcentral.
GACGAGCGCUGGCGGCGUGCUUAACACAUGCAAGUCGAACGGAAAGGCCUCUUUCGGGGGGUACUCGAGUGGCGAACGGGUGAGUAACACGUGAGUAACCUGCCCUUGACUUUGGGAUAACUUCAGGAAACUGGGGCUAAUACCGGAUAGGAGCUCCUGCUGCAUGGUGGGGGUUGGAAAGUUUCGGCGGUUGGGGAUGGACUCGCGGCUUAUCAGCUUGUUGGUGGGGUAGUGGCUUACCAAGGCUUUGACGGGUAGCCGGCCUGAGAGGGUGACCGGCCACAUUGGGACUGAGAUACGGCCCAGACUCCUACGGGAGGAAGCAGUGGGGAAUAUUGCACAAUGGGUGGAAGCCUGAUGCAGCAACGCCGUGUGCGGGAUGACGGCCUUCGGGUUGUAAACCGCUUUCGCUCAUGACGAAGCUUUGUGUGACGGUAGUGGGUAAAGAAGCACCGGCUAACUACGUG